This 102-nucleotide non-coding RNA is filed under the name Bacillus sp. (in: firmicutes). RNAcentral describes it as "Bacillus sp. Guanine sequence". It matches the Rfam family "Purine riboswitch aptamer". From Rfam's summary of the family: Riboswitches are metabolite binding domains within certain messenger RNAs that serve as precision sensors for their corresponding targets. Allosteric rearrangement of mRNA structure is mediated by ligand binding, and this results in modulation of gene expression. Lineage: Bacteria; Bacillati; Bacillota; Bacilli; Caryophanales; Bacillaceae. The record is from RNAcentral. RNAcentral also lists the same sequence under 1 other name.
UCGAAUAAUCAAUUUCUCCUUCGUAUAUUUUCGACAAUAUGGGUCGAAAGUUUCUACCAAAUCACCGUAAAUGAUUGGACUAUGAGGGCAGGUUCUUAUGUA